RNAcentral lists this ribosomal RNA (253 nucleotides) under uncultured bacterium. Its description in RNAcentral is "partial 16S ribosomal RNA". It matches the Rfam family "Bacterial small subunit ribosomal RNA", at positions 524 to 776 of the family's 1533-position model. The record is from RNAcentral.
GACAGAAGGUGCAAACGUUGUUCGGAAUUACUGGGCGUAAAGCGCAUGUAGGCGGCCAAGCAGGUCGGAUGUGAAAUCCCUCGGCUCAACCAAGGAGGUGCAUUCGAAACCGCAUGGCUGGAGUCCCGGAGAGGGUAGUGGAAUUCUCGGUGUAGAGGUGAAAUUCGUAGAUAUCGAGAGGAACACCGGCGGCGAAAGCGGCUACCUGGACGAGGACUGACGCUGAGAUGCGAAAGCGUGGGGAGCAAACAGG